UAGGGAGGGGGUUAGCGUUGUUCGGAAUUACUGGGCGUAAAGCGCGCGUAGGCGGAUCAGAAAGUUGGGGGUGAAAUCCCGGGGCUCAACCCCGGAACUGCCUCCAAAACUCCUGGUCUUGAGUUCGAGAGAGGUGAGUGGAAUUCCGAGUGUAGAGGUGAAAUUCGUAGAUAUUCGGAGGAACACCAGUGGCGAAGGCGGCUCACUGGCUCGAUACUGACGCUGAGGUGCGAAAGUGUGGGGAGCAAACAGG
This 253-nucleotide ribosomal RNA is filed under the name uncultured bacterium. RNAcentral describes it as "partial 16S ribosomal RNA". It matches the Rfam family "Bacterial small subunit ribosomal RNA", at positions 524 to 776 of the family's 1533-position model. The record is from RNAcentral.